Molecule: ribosomal RNA, 464 nt
Filed under: uncultured bacterium
Lineage: Bacteria
Description: partial 16S ribosomal RNA
Rfam family: Bacterial small subunit ribosomal RNA
Source: RNAcentral
GACGAACGCUGGCGGCGUGCUUAACACAUGCAAGUCGAACGGUAAGGCCCUUUAGGGGGUACACGAGUGGCGAACGGGUGAGUAACACGUGGGUGAUCUGCCCUGCACUUUGGGAUAAGCCUGGGAAACUGGGUCUAAUACCGGAUAGGACUACGCGAUGCAUGUCGUGUGGUGGAAAGCUUUUGCGGUGUGGGAUGGGCCCGCGGCCUAUCAGCUUGUUGGUGGGGUGAUGGCCUACCAAGGCGACGACGGGUAGCCGGCCUGAGAGGGUGUCCGGCCACACUGUGACUGAGAUACGGCCCAGACUCCUACGGGAGGCAGCAGUGGGGAAUAUUGCACAAUGGGCUCAAGCCUGAUGGAGCGACGCCGCGUGGGGGAUGACUGCCUUCGGUUUGUAACCCCCUUUCAGCACAGACGAAGCGUAAGUGACGGUAUGUGCAGAAGAAGCACCGGCCAACUACGUG